AAGUCGUAACAAGGUUUCCGUAGGUGAACCUGCGGAAGGAUCAUUAUUGAAUACGAUUGGGACUGAUGCUGGCUCUUUACUGAGCAUGUGCUCGUUCCAUCUAUUUAUCUUCUCUUGUGCACAUCUUGUGGUCUUGAAAUGAAGUCUCUUGCUUUUGUGCGGUUCAGGAGCUUGCUCCUGCUUCUUUCAAGGUCAUGUUUUCAUAUACACUACCAAGUUAUAGAAUGUCUUUUAACGGUUGCGCAAGCAGUCAUUAAACCUAUACAACUUUCAGCAACGGAUCUCUUGGCUCUC
RNAcentral lists this unclassified non-coding RNA (294 nucleotides) under air metagenome. RNAcentral's name for it is "partial contains small subunit ribosomal RNA, internal transcribed spacer 1, and 5.8S ribosomal RNA". The stretch from base 1 to 46 matches the Rfam family "Eukaryotic small subunit ribosomal RNA", at positions 1786 to 1831 of the family's 1831-position model. The record is from RNAcentral.